AGGACGAACGCUGGCGGCGUGCUUAACACAUGCAAGUCGAACGGUGAACCAGGGCUUGCCCUGGGGAUCAGUGGCGAACGGGUGAGUAACACGUGGGCAACCUGCCCCUGACUCUGGGAUAACUCCUCGAAAGAGGUGCUAAUACCGGAUACGACCACUUCGGGCAUCCGAUGGUGGUGGAAAGAAUUUUGGUCAGGGAUGGGCCCGCGGCCUAUCAGCUUGUUGGUGGGGUAACGGGCCCACCAAGGCGACGACGGGUAGCCGGCCUGAGAGGGCGACCGGCCACACUGGGACUGAGACACGGCCCAGACUCCUACGGGAGGCAGCAGUGGGGAAUAUUGCGCAAUGGGCGAAAGCCUGACGCAGCGACGCCGCGUGAGGGACGACGGCCUUCGGGUUGUAAACCUCUUUCAGCAGGGACGAAGCGAAAGUGACGGUACCUGCAGAAGAAGCACCGGCUAACUACGUG
RNAcentral lists this ribosomal RNA (469 nucleotides) under uncultured bacterium. RNAcentral describes it as "bacterial SSU rRNA". It matches the Rfam family "Bacterial small subunit ribosomal RNA", at positions 26 to 507 of the family's 1533-position model. The record is from RNAcentral.